CAGCGGCGGACGGGUGAGUAACACGUGGGCAACCUGCCUGUAAGACUGGGAUAACUCCGGGAAACCGGGGCUAAUACCGGAUAACUCUUUUCCUCACAUGAGGAAAAGCUGAAAGAUGGUUUCGGCUAUCACUUACAGAUGGGCCCGCGGCGCAUUAGCUAGUUGGUGAGGUAACGGCUCACCAAGGCCACGAUGCGUAGCCGACCUGAGAGGGUGAUCGGCCACACUGGGACUGAGACACGGCCCAGACUCCUACGGGAGGCAGCAGUAGGGAAUCUUCCGCAAUGGACGAAAGUCUGACGGAGCAACGCCGCGUGAGUGAUGAAGGUUUUCGGAUCGUAAAACUCUGUUGUCAGGGAAGAACAAGUACCGGAGUAACUGCCGGUACCUUGACGGUACCUGACCAGAAAGCCACGGCUAACUACGUGCCAGCAGCCGCGGUAAUACGUAGGUGGCAAGCGUUGUCCGGAAUUAUUGGGCGUAAAGCGCGCGCAGGCGGUUCCUUAAGUCUGAUGUGAAAGCCCCCGGCUCAACCGGGGAGGGUCAUUGGAAACUGGGGAACUUGAGUGCAGAAGAGAAGAGUGGAAUUCCACGUGUAGCGGUGAA
This 606-nucleotide ribosomal RNA is filed under the name Cytobacillus firmus. RNAcentral's name for it is "bacterial SSU rRNA". It matches the Rfam family "Bacterial small subunit ribosomal RNA", at positions 93 to 685 of the family's 1533-position model. Lineage: Bacteria; Bacillati; Bacillota; Bacilli; Caryophanales; Bacillaceae. The record is from RNAcentral.